CAAUAGCAUAUAUUAACGUUGUUGCAGUUGAAAAGCUCGUAGUUGAACUUUUGGUAGGAGCGACCUGGCCUUGGGCGCAUGCCCUUGUUUGCCGUGUGUCGUAUCUGGCCAUCCUUUUCCGCUUCGGCGGGAAUCCUUUACUGUGAGUAAACUGGAGUGCUCAAAACAAGACGUUUGUUUGGUACAUUAAAGCAUGGAAUAAUAAGAUAGGACCUGGUUACUAUUUUGUUGGUUUGCAUAGCUAGGUAAUGAUUAACAGGGACAGUUGGGGGUAUUCGUAUUUAAUUGUCAGAGGUGAAAUUCUUGGAUUUAUGAAAGACGAACGACUGCGAAAGCAUUUACCAAGGAUGUUUUCAUUAA
This 360-nucleotide ribosomal RNA is filed under the name uncultured eukaryote. RNAcentral's name for it is "partial 18S ribosomal RNA". It matches the Rfam family "Eukaryotic small subunit ribosomal RNA", at positions 592 to 976 of the family's 1831-position model. The record is from RNAcentral.